CUCAGGACGAACGCUGGCGGCGUGCUUAACACAUGCAAGUGGUGCGACGAACCAGGGCUUGCCCUGGGGCCAAGCCGCGAACGGGUGAGUAACACGUGAGUAACCUGCCCCGAUGACCGGGACAACCCGAGGAAACUCGGGCUAAUACCGGAUGUGGCGCACAAUCGCAAGUUUGUGCGCUAAAGGAAGCUUCGGCCUCCGCAUUGGGAGGGGCUCGCGGCCCAUUAGCUUGUUGGUGGGGUAACGGCCUACCAAGGCAACGAUGGGUAGCUGGUCUGAGAGGAUGAUCAGCCACACUGGAACUGAGACACGGUCCAGACUCCUACGGGAGGCAGCAGUGGGGAAUUUUGCGCAAUGGGGGAAACCCUGACGCAGCAACGCCGCGUGAGUGAUGAAGGCCUUCGGGUCGUAAAGCUCUGUCAGAGGGGAAGAAAUGAUGAGGUGUUAAUACCAUCUCUUCUUGACGGUACCCUCAAAGGAAGCACCGGCUAACUCCGUGCUAGCAGCCGCGGUAAUAC
This 518-nucleotide ribosomal RNA is filed under the name uncultured bacterium. Its description in RNAcentral is "bacterial SSU rRNA". It matches the Rfam family "Bacterial small subunit ribosomal RNA", at positions 23 to 526 of the family's 1533-position model. The record is from RNAcentral.